AGAGUUUGAUCAUGGCUCAGGAUGAACGCUGGCGGCGUGCUUAAUACAUGCAAGUCGAACGGGAUCGCAAGAUCUAGUGGCGACCGGGUGCGUAACACGUAGCUGACCUACCCUCUCGCGGGGGAUAACAGGCCGAAAGGCUUGCUAAUACCGCAUACUCUUCAACGAAAUAGCUAGUUGAAGGAAACUUCCGGGGCGAGGGGAGGGGGCUGCGGCCCAUCAGGUAGUUGGUGAGGUAAUGGCUCACCAAGCCGAUGACGGGUAGGGGGUCUGAGAGGAUGGUCCCCCACACUGGCACUGACAACGGGCCAGACUCCUACGGGAGGCAGCAGUAAGGGAUAUUGGUCAAUGGGCGCAAGCCUGAACCAGCAACGCCGCGUGGAGGAUGAAGGCCUUCGGGUUGUAAACUUCUUUUGCCCCUGACGAGCGAGGACGGUAGGGGGCGAAUCAGUCACGGCUAACUACGUGCCAGCCGCCGCGGUAAUAC
RNAcentral lists this ribosomal RNA (487 nucleotides) under uncultured bacterium. RNAcentral describes it as "bacterial SSU rRNA". It matches the Rfam family "Bacterial small subunit ribosomal RNA", at positions 8 to 526 of the family's 1533-position model. The record is from RNAcentral.